CUGGCAUUUCGGAACGACCACUGCUGAGAAGAAAUAAAUAAAUAUAUUAGGACAAAUCACAAAAAAAAAGAAAAUAAACUCAUUCAAACAGCGUUGGUCCCUAUCAUGCCUUUGUAUUGCGCAGUAUGCCAGGCUUACCAUUUUGUAUGCUGUUGUCAAAAUUGCAAGUUUCGAAGAUGCAAUUGUAACAGGAAUGGUAAAAAAAAUGCCAAAAUGUAAAAGAUUGAAUUGCGAUGCAGCGGAAAUUAUUAGCAAGACUGUGGAGCUGGGGGCUACCAUGAAACAUACAACACGCCAUUGCGUCCAUCCGUUCUCUCUUUCACACGAUGCGUACACGGUAUGCGAAAACGAGACAGCAUGUUGCCGUUAGUAACGUGCGACGUGCUUGUAUCCUUCGUGGUAGGCCUUCAGUUAUAUCUAAAAAGGAGUUGAUAUAUUUUAACUAAAUUAAUUUGUUACUAUUAAAAUGUAAAAUAUUCUGAAAUGUGAUCCCAUUAUCAAAGCGGAGUGGAGUUGGUUUUAAUUUGUUUGAGUGUUUGUACAAUCAACAGAACAUAAAGCUACCCAGCAUCAUUGCAAAUUCGUCCCUAUUACUGUCACAUAGAGUACCAUAUAGUGUAGCUUGACAUUCAUUUUAUUGUACAUGUUUUAACUACAGUCUCAGAAAACUGAUUUUUCGAAAUAAUUUUUUUUUCUGUUGCAAUACCAAAUUGGAAUUAAAAGUCAUGAAACUAUUUAGGUACAGUCUGUCAAGAAAGUGAUGAAAACUAAAACUAUUUUUUUUUGCAUUGCAACACCAAAUAAAAUUAACAUGAUUGGUUGAUAAACCCAGUGUUGCCAGCCAACAGAACACAGCGCCCUUAUUUAUUUGCUACUUUUUAUAAGCAGACUGUAUAUUUUAUCAUAGAAAUAUACACAUUAAUCCUAUACUAUUCAUUAAAAAGAUAAGCAUACUUUUUACUUUACUAAGCUAAAGUAUGUUUAGUCUUGUUCUGUUAAUGCGAAAUUUUGUAAAGUGCUAUAGUGACACAACAUACUUUAGCUUAUAGUAUGCUGUAUAUUUGUUAUGAAUAAAAUGGUAAAAAUAUUAAUAUAAAUAAAAAAUAAUCUGAUUCUAAUUAAAUGUUAUUAGUAUUGAUGGAUUAAUUUAUGAAACACAUGUGAUUGUGACUGUACUUACGGUGGUUCUCGAACUUCUCGAGAAUGCGCGGACACGGCGAGGAAAUGUUCUCGGUAAUUCUAGAAAAAAAUAUUCAUAACGUUCCCUUUAAAUUAUCAAUGAGAAUUUUCUUGAAAUUCUGCGGGAAUUUUCAUGGGAGGAAAUUUUCGAGAACACAAUUUCUCUGUGGCACUUCGCAAAUUUUGUUCGCUCUGCUCCGUAUAAAAAAAGUAUUUAUGACGGCACAAAUUGACACAAUAUAUUUGUAUAAUAAUUUAAUUGUAUCGUGUUUAAUUUAUUAGUUGAUUAGUUCAGUUGUUUAAUAAAAAAUAUAAAAGUUG
Long non-coding RNA from Plodia interpunctella (Indianmeal moth), 1500 nucleotides. RefSeq lists it as uncharacterized. The record is from RefSeq and is a predicted model, not a curated record. The transcript is spliced from 2 exons. NCBI's taxonomy places the organism in Eukaryota, Metazoa, Arthropoda, Insecta, Lepidoptera, Pyralidae.